UACAGAGGGGGCAAGCGUUGUUCGGAAUUACUGGGCUUAAAGGGCGCGUAGGCGGCGCGGUAAGUCACUUGUGAAAUCUCUGAGCUUAACUCAGAACGGCCAAGUGAUACUGCAGUGCUAGAGUGCAGAAGGGGCAAUCGGAAUUCUUGGUGUAGCGGUGAAAUGCGUAGAUAUCAAGAGGAACACCUGAGGUGAAGACGGGUUGCUAGGCUGACACUGACGCUGAGGCGCGAAAGCCAGGGGAGCAAACGGG
RNAcentral lists this ribosomal RNA (253 nucleotides) under uncultured bacterium. RNAcentral's name for it is "partial 16S ribosomal RNA". It matches the Rfam family "Bacterial small subunit ribosomal RNA", at positions 524 to 776 of the family's 1533-position model. The record is from RNAcentral.